GGCUCGUUGGUCAAGUGGUUAAGACGCCGCCCUCUCAAGGCGGAAUCACGAGUUCAAUUCUCGUACGAGCUG
Molecule: transfer RNA, 72 nt
Filed under: Anaerocolumna aminovalerica
Lineage: Bacteria; Bacillati; Bacillota; Clostridia; Lachnospirales; Lachnospiraceae
Also listed under: 4 other names
Description: Clostridium aminovalericum tRNA
Rfam family: tRNA
About the family: Transfer RNA (tRNA) molecules are approximately 80 nucleotides in length. Their secondary structure includes four short double-helical elements and three loops (D, anti-codon, and T loops). Further hydrogen bonds mediate the characteristic L-shaped molecular structure. tRNAs have two regions of fundamental functional importance: the anti-codon, which is responsible for specific mRNA codon recognition, and the 3' end, to which the tRNAs corresponding amino acid is attached (by aminoacyl-tRNA synthetases). tRNAs cope with the degeneracy of the genetic code in two manners: having more than one tRNA (with a specific anti-codon) for a particular amino acid; and 'wobble' base-pairing, i.e. permitting non-standard base-pairing at the 3rd anti-codon position.
Source: Rfam by way of RNAcentral